UGAGAGGAAGGUCCCCCACAUUGGAACUGAGACACGGUCCAAACUCCUACGGGAGGCAGCAGUGAGGAAUAUUGGUCAAUGGGCGAGAGCCUGAACCAGCCAAGUAGCGUGAAGGAUGACUGCCCUAUGGGUUGUAAACUUCUUUUAUAAAGGAAUAAAGUCGGGUAUGCAUACCCGUUUGCAUGUACUUUAUGAAUAAGGAUCGGCUAACUCCGUGCCAGCAGCCGCGGUAAUACGGAGGAUCCGAGCGUUAUCCGGAUUUAUUGGGUUUAAAGGGAGCGUAGAUGGAUGUUUAAGUCAGUUGUGAAAGUUUGCGGCUCAACCGUAAAAUUGCAGUUGAUACUGGAUAUCUUGAGUGCAGUUGAGGCAGGCGGAAUUCGUGGUGUAGCGGUGAAAUGCUUAGAUAUCACGAAGAACUCCGAUUGCGAAGGCAGCCUGCUAAGCUGCAACUGACAUUGAGGCUCGAAAGUGUGGGUAUCAAACAGGAUUAGAUACCCUGGUAGUCCACACGGUAAACGAUGAAUACUCGCUGUUUGCGAUAUACAGCAAGCGGCCAAGCGAAAGCGUUAAGUAUUCCACCUGGGGAGUA
This 589-nucleotide ribosomal RNA is filed under the name uncultured bacterium. RNAcentral describes it as "bacterial SSU rRNA". It matches the Rfam family "Bacterial small subunit ribosomal RNA", at positions 293 to 882 of the family's 1533-position model. The record is from RNAcentral.